UUUAUAUAUAAUAUAUAUUUAUAUAUAUUAUAUAUUUUUUAUAUAUUAUAUAUAUUUAUAUAUAUAUAUAUCUCUCUCCAGUUGCAUCCAUGUUGUUGGAAAUGACAGGAUGCCAUACUUUUUGACGGCUGAACAUUACUUCAUUGUCUAUAAGUAUACACACAAUAUACUGAUUUCUUUUAUUUCUUGUAUUUAGCCUAGUGCUGGGUAUAUAUACCCAGCACUGGGCUUGCUGGAUGAUAUGGUAGCUCAAUGUUUAGUUUUUUAAAUAGCUUAUUUGCCUUAUCUCUUUGCUUUCCCCCUGUUCCCACUAGCCAGACUCCUUUUCCCUAAUUAGGACUCCACAGUAAAUCCAAAUAUAUUCUGAAGGCUAUCUAUGUUACAGGUUUUCUUACCACACCUGACAGAAAGAAAAACAAAGAAAAGGUAUAAAAUAACUUACAGGGCCGGGUGCGGUGGCUCAAGCCUAUAAUCCUAGCAUUUUGGGAGGCCAAGGCACGCAGAUCACCAGGUCAGGAGUUAAAGACUAGACUGGCCAAUAUGGUGAAAUCCCAUCUCUACUAAAAAGACAAAAAAAACUUAGCUGGGAGUAAUGGCUUAUGGCUGUAAUCCCAGCUACUCGGGAGGCAGAGGCAGGAGAAUUGCUGGAACCCAGGAGAAGGAGGAUGCAGUGAGGCAAGAUCGUGCUACUGCACUGCAGCCUGGGUGACAGACUGAGACUCCGUCUCAAAAAAUAAUAAUAAAAAUAAUAAAAAAUAAAAUACCUUAUAAUUGGCCAGGUGUGGUGGCUCAUGCCUGUAAUCCCAGCACGUUGGGAGGCCGAGGCAGGCAGAUCACUUGAGGACAGGAGUUCAAGACCAGCCUGGCCAACAUAGCGAAAUGCCGUUUCUACUAAAAAUACAAAAAUUAGCCGGGCAUGGUGGCCCACACCUGUAAUCCCAGCUACUCAGGAGGUUGAAGCAGGAAAAUUGCUUGAACCUGGGAGGCGGGAGUUGCAGUGAGUCGAGAUCGCACCACUGCACUCCAGCCUGGGUGACACAGUGAGAUUGUCUCAAAUAACAACAAACAAACAAACAAAACACCUUAUAAUUUGCAAAUAAAAAGUAUCUUUUCUAGUUACUUGCAGAAUGCACGUAAAGUGAAUUUAAAAUUCUGCCGUGAUAAAAGUUCAUCUUAUCAAUUGGGUCACUCUUGCCACAUCCAACUUAUACAGGAGGUAAAAAUAAACUAUUUAGGCAGACAGUAAGGGCAAAAACUCCUCUGCAGAGCUUCCCUUCUAACAAAAAGCUGCCCAAAAUAUCGUUUUGUUCUAACAAAGAGCAGCCCGAAAAAUCGAUCUGCAAACAUACGUAAGCAAGCUGGAAGCUUGCAUGGGGGAAGUCAGCAGCUGUGCCAAUAGAAAAGGGGCUACCUUGGGGCUAGGCAUGUCCACCAUGGAAGCUCCGUCUUUCCUUUUUUGUUAGCACGUGUACAGUAAGAAAGAAAUGGGUAACAUGGCACAGCUCAGGCAAAGAACCUGCAUAAUAAAAGAUUGGGGAGGGGGCUGCCAGAAAUUCAUGCCGUAUGCAAAUGUUACAUCUGGUCCUAUGUAGAUAAGACACUACCUCCCCACCAGCUCAUCUAUAAAACCCCUACGUUUUGCCACGAAUCUGCAAACCAUUUUUCCAGGACCUCUCUCUGUAGCAGAGAGCUAUUGACUUUCUUUCGCCUAUUGAACUUCCACUCUUAACGCCACUCUUGGGUGUCCGUGUCCUCGAUUUCCGUGGCCAUGAGACAACGAACAUCAGGUAUUACCCCAGAAAAUGAGGCUGCCUCACAACUAAACCAAAGUCAAGAGGACAGAUGAAAAAUGAACUCAGGAUACAAACAUUGCUUCAAGAACGUGAUUCUCUGAAGUAUGGCUGCUGAAACUUCCUGUUGUAACCAGAAACCCCUGAAACCAGCUUUUUUUUUUUUUUUUUUUUUUUUUUUUUUUUUUUUUGGACAGUCUUCUCUGUCACCAGGCUAGAGUGAAGUGGCACAAUCUCGGCUCACUGCAACCCAUGACUCCCUGGAUCAAGCGAUUCUCCAGCCUCAGCCUCUGAGGUAGCGGGGAUUACAGGCACAUGCCAAGAUGCCCACUAAUUUUUGUAUUUGUAGUAGAGACAAGGUUUCACCAUGUUGGCCAGGAUGAUCUUGAACUCCUGACCUUGUGAUCCAACCGCCUUGGCCUCCCAAGGUGCUGGGAUUACAGGCAUGAGCCAACGUGCCAGCCAAGAUUUUUCUUUUAGCUGCUAAAAUAAAUUACCUGGGACUUUAAAAAUAGUUUGUGAACGAAGUAUCUGAGACAAAUCUCAAUCAGUUUAGAAAGUUUAUCUUGCCAAGGUUAACUGCAUGCCCACGACACAGGCUCAAGAGGUCCUAAUGUCAUGUGCCCAAUAUGGUCUAGGUAGAGCUUACAUUUUAGGGAGUCAUGACGUAUCAGUAAGUGUCAGAUGUACGUUGGUUAAGUCGGGAAAGGUGGAACAACCCAAAGCGGGGUGGGGGGUGGAUUCCAGGACAUAGGUAAAUAAGAGACAAAUGGUUGUUUUCUUUGAGUCUCUGAUUAGCCUUUUGUACUUUGAGUAAUUUUGUUCUCACAUAUUUUAUUUUAUUUUGAGAUGAGGUCUUGCUCUUUUGCCAGAUACUCAGGAGGCUGAGGCAGGAGAAUCAUCUCAACCCAGGAAACAGAGUUUGUGGAGGGUUUGGAGUAAGACGUCUGCAUCCCGGGGGAGCUCAUUUUCCAGGGGCUGGAGCUGGGCAGGCAAGGACACCCCGUGUCACAGGACAGGCCCCGGACACCUUCCCAACGCGGGCUCAGGGGAAGCGGUGACGGCGGAGAGGAGACCUGGGGAGCAGCAGGGCCCGGCACGAGAAGGGAG
RNAcentral lists this long non-coding RNA (2900 nucleotides) under Homo sapiens (human). RNAcentral describes it as "HSALNT0261933". Lineage: Eukaryota; Metazoa; Chordata; Mammalia; Primates; Hominidae. The record is from RNAcentral.